CACCACUUGGUGAAGAUUUUGUCAUAGGGAUAUGGGCUAGUAGGCAGUUGCUCGAAAACCCGUAAGACAAACAAGGAA
Molecule: non-coding RNA, 78 nt
Filed under: unclassified sequences
Description: RT-18 RNA
Rfam family: RT-18 RNA
About the family: Clostridiales (Firmicutes). Nearby to self-splicing intron genes
Source: Rfam by way of RNAcentral